AUUGAACGCUGGCGGCAGGCCUAACACAUGCAAGUCGAGCGGAUGAAGGGAGCUUGCUCCUGGAUUCAGCGGCGGACGGGUGAGUAAUGCCUAGGAAUCUGCCUGGUAGUGGGGGAUAACGUCCGGAAACGGGCGCUAAUACCGCAUACGUCCUGAGGGAGAAAGUGGGGGAUCUUCGGACCUCACGCUAUCAGAUGAGCCUAGGUCGGAUUAGCUAGUUGGUGGGGUAAAGGCCUACCAAGGCGACGAUCCGUAACUGGUCUGAGAGGAUGAUCAGUCACACUGGAACUGAGACACGGUCCAGACUCCUACGGGAGGCAGCAGUGGGGAAUAUUGGACAAUGGGCGAAAGCCUGAUCCAGCCAUGCCGCGUGUGUGAAGAAGGUCUUCGGAUUGUAAAGCACUUUAAGUUGGGAGGAAGGGCAGUAGGUUGAUACCUUGCUGUUUUGACGUUACCAACAGAAUAAGCACCGGCUAACUUCGUG
This 484-nucleotide ribosomal RNA is filed under the name uncultured bacterium. Its description in RNAcentral is "partial 16S ribosomal RNA". It matches the Rfam family "Bacterial small subunit ribosomal RNA", at positions 30 to 507 of the family's 1533-position model. The record is from RNAcentral.